UUAAAAGAGUAGUAUGCCCCUAUGACUAAUAACCUAGCUCAUAUACAUCAGGUCAAAGUGCAGCCAAUAAGGAGGUGACGAUGGGUUACAACCCCCAAAACAGAUUAUAGACUAAGAAAAUAAAAAUCUUACGAAAGUGGACUUGGCCGUAAUCAAUUUAAAGUUAAAGAAAUGAAUAAUAUCUAAGACAUGCACACCUCGCCCGUCACUCUACCCCAAAGGUUAGAUAAGUCGUAACAAAGUAGGUGUAAUGGAAAUUGUACCUGUCGGAGUAUAGCAUAUAAAAUGCUUUUUACUUACACUAAAAAUAAAGUUAAAUAACUUGCUUCGCCCACAUAAUAUAAUCUUACAAAUAAUUAUUAAUUAAAACAAUUAAAUAAUAAAUUAAUAUAGUACAGAAAUGGAACAAAUUAAUAAAUUAAAGUAAAUUUUAAUAAAUGUACCUUGUGCAUUAUGGUCUUACAAGAAAAUAAUUAAAUAUAUAAAUCCCGAAUUCUAAGUGAGAUGCUAGACUGCUGUUAAGCACCCAUUAAUAACUGUGGAAAAAGUUUUAAGAGACAGCCUAGCAGAGGCUACAUACCAUCCGCAUAAGAAUAUAACUGGUUUUCAACAAACAUUAUACAUUAAGACAUAUAAUUAUAUUAUAGUGUAAUAUUAUUGAGGACAAGCCCAAUAAUCUCUGCAAUAAAUCUAACUAUUCAAUUCUACUCAAUAGGCCUAAAAUCAGCCAACUAGAAUACUUUAUCGUAAAACAAGUAGAUAUAAUAUAUAGCACGUUAAUGCCCAAAAAAGUUGAAAUAAUAGAGAGACUUACUUAUCUAUUUUUAAUAUGUAAAAAUAAGUAUUAUAAUUUAUAAAAUAAAGAAACAAGUAAUGACAACAUAUAACUAACAAUAAUUAAUUAAGGAACUCGGCAAAUCAUUAUUUCGACUGUUUAACAAAAACAUUGUCUUAUGAAUAGAAUAUUAGAUAAUACCUG
RNAcentral lists this ribosomal RNA (979 nucleotides) under Amynthas sp. FJ201002-02. Its description in RNAcentral is "partial 12S ribosomal RNA". Lineage: Eukaryota; Metazoa; Annelida; Clitellata; Crassiclitellata; Megascolecidae. The record is from RNAcentral.